This 112-nucleotide transfer RNA is filed under the name Caudoviricetes sp. RNAcentral describes it as "tRNA-OTHER". It matches the Rfam family "tRNA". From Rfam's summary of the family: Transfer RNA (tRNA) molecules are approximately 80 nucleotides in length. Their secondary structure includes four short double-helical elements and three loops (D, anti-codon, and T loops). Lineage: Duplodnaviria; Heunggongvirae; Uroviricota; Caudoviricetes. The record is from RNAcentral.
UCUUCUUUAGCUCAGUGGUAGAGCAGCGCGUUUCAUUUUGUUGUUUGUCUCGUGUUUAAAGGUUAGUUGAUUUUCAUCGCGCAGGUCACCGGUUCGAAUCCGGUAAGAAGAA